Pseudopipra pipra is the source of this 913-nucleotide long non-coding RNA. RefSeq lists it as uncharacterized. The record is from RefSeq and is a predicted model, not a curated record. The transcript has 2 exons. Lineage: Eukaryota; Metazoa; Chordata; Aves; Passeriformes; Pipridae.
GCUGUGCCCGUGUUCCAUGUGGAACUGCCAGGGCCCGGCGACGAGCACAACGCAGCCAUUCCCCUGCUGACAGCGAUCUGUGAGCAGCUCCCAGGGAAAGCUCGUCAAGUGAUCCCUAAAAGACCCGUGAGUCCUGGACUCAACCAGCUCCAGUCUGGAGCUCUGCAGCCAUCCCAGCAGGAUGGGCAACCUCCUCCCAGUGAAGACUGCUGGAGAUACAGAGGAAGAGAUGGACGUGGACGUUGUGGUGGACACAGAGGAGAUGAUGGAGGUGGACAUCCAAGAGUUUGAUGAAGAGAUGGAGGUCGAUGUGGUGGAGGAGAUCGAGGACAUGGAUAUCGACCAGUAAGAUGAGGAGGAGGACAUGGUGCUGGGAUGAGGACAGUCCCCCAGCAGCACGACAGGCACGUACAGGCCAUGCCCUGCCCCGGGGUCACCUGCUGGGUGUGCCAGGCUGGGGGCACAGGGAACACCCAGCAGGGCCCGACUGCACUGACCGUGCCCUUGCUUUUCUUCCAGGACUGACGGACCUGCCGGCCAUGGCAUCGGCCACCUGUACAUAUGUUUUACAUGUUUUUCUGUAAAUACGUUUUCUAUUGUUGAUUUCUUAAGAAGAUUGUUGUUUUAUAGAGAAGAUAGUUUUAGAAGAUAGAUUUUUAUAUAAGAAGAUAGUUUUUUAUUAAGAAGGUAGUUUUUUUAAGAAGAUAAGGUUUCUUUUUAAGAUAGUGUUUUAUUAAGAAGAUAGCUUUUUUAGAAGAUAGUUGUUUUUAUUAAGAAGAUAUUUUUAUUAAGAAGAUGGUUAUUGAUAUUAAGACUGUUGUCAUCAAGAAGACUGUCGUUUCUAUAAAGAAGAAUGCUGGAUUUAUUAAGAAAAUUCUGAAAACAUCAAUAAAUUCAAGAUCCGUGUCUUAUA